Long non-coding RNA from Bos taurus (domestic cattle), 1036 nucleotides. Lineage: Eukaryota; Metazoa; Chordata; Mammalia; Artiodactyla; Bovidae. The record is from Ensembl.
ACCCCUCCAGUUCAAUCCCUGGGUCGGGAAGAUCCCCUGGAGAAGGAAAUGGCAACCCACUCGGUAUUCUUGCCUGGGAAGUCCCAUGGACUGAGGAGCCUGGCGGGCUACAGUCCAUGGGGUCACAACUCAACUUCAAGACUAAACGGCAACAGGAGCCUAAGCUUUCUCAGAGGCGCCCAAAGAAGGUAACGCAUUGAUGGCCUGAUUGUGUUUCUACCACGACUUGCAACCCAAGAUGCAGCCCAGCCUCUGAAAAGCCCAUUGUUCCGUGCAGCGAUGUUAUAACUCUCUGUAAACGGGGCAGUCCAGGGCACUCAGCGCUGCCCGCUCCACCCCAUUGGUGACCUGCAGGGACAGCUGAAUGCCUUCUGGUCCGCUGAGCCCAGAGGAGUGGGGCUGGGCUUUCAGAAACAGCAGGGCUGAUUCAUCGAGAACAAAAGCCAGCUCUUCCUGCUAAAUCCCUGGCCAUCAAGGGCGGCGAGGCCAGCAGGCCCCUGAGCCCCUCCGCAGAAACUCCUUCUUCAUCCGGCUACCGCUGUGGGGCUCCACAGCAGGAGAGCCAGCUUCCCACUGCCCCGUCCCUUCAGCCUGGCCUGCUCUCAGAACCCCCCGGGAAGCAGUGGCUUGGGAGUGAAAUCUGGAUUCUCGUCCUGGUCCUGCCAUUUCCCAGCGGUGCAAUGAAAAUAAGAAACUUCACUUCUCUGAGCCUCAGUUUCUCCAUCUGUGAACUGGGAGUGAAAAUAGUUCCAGCCGGAGGAACUGGUGUCAGAUUUGAAGGAGAUAAUGCCCAGAACAGGAACCUACGACUCUUUGUCCUCUUGCUAUCUGGCGUCAUCUUUCAUAACUCAGUCUGGUACCUUGCAUUCCAGACACGUGGGCACGAGCUCACCCAUCUUAGCUCCUCCACGUCAUUACCUGUAGGCUUCCCAGAACGAUACCAGCUUCUGUUUACAGAGGCCCUGCUAUGCCCCAGGCCUUGCAGCUAGCAGUUAACAUGGAUAAUUUCACUUCAUUUUCCCACCACUCUUUGAGG